AGGAUAAACGCUGGCGGCGUGCCUAACACAUGCAAGUCGAACGCCCUACGCAAGUAGGGAGUGGCGGACGGGUGAGGAACACGUGGGUUAUCUGCCUUUCGGUGAGGAAUACCAGCGAGAAAUCGCUGACAAUACCGCAUACGGUUCUUUCGAGAGGAAGAACGAAAGUCGUAAGACGCCGGGAGAUGAGCCUGCGCCCGAUUAGUUUGUUGGUGGGGUAAAAGCCUACCAAGACUGCAAUCGGUAGCUGGUCUGAGAGGACGAUCAGCCACACUGGGAUUGAGAACGGCCCAGACUCCUACGGGGGGCAGCAGUGAGGAAUUUUCGUCAAUGGGGGAAACCCUGAACGAGCAACGCCGCGUGGAGGAAGAAGGUUUUCGGAUCGUAAACUGCUUUUCUGUGGGAAGAGAACGGACGGUACCACAGGAAGAAGCCCCGGCUAACUACGUGCCAGCAGCCGC
RNAcentral lists this ribosomal RNA (461 nucleotides) under uncultured bacterium. RNAcentral's name for it is "SSU rRNA". It matches the Rfam family "Bacterial small subunit ribosomal RNA", at positions 26 to 518 of the family's 1533-position model. The record is from RNAcentral.